This 72-nucleotide transfer RNA is filed under the name Ictidomys tridecemlineatus (thirteen-lined ground squirrel). RNAcentral's name for it is "Spermophilus tridecemlineatus (thirteen-lined ground squirrel) tRNA". It matches the Rfam family "tRNA". Rfam says of the family: Transfer RNA (tRNA) molecules are approximately 80 nucleotides in length. Their secondary structure includes four short double-helical elements and three loops (D, anti-codon, and T loops). The record is from Rfam by way of RNAcentral. Lineage: Eukaryota; Metazoa; Chordata; Mammalia; Rodentia; Sciuridae.
UGGGUUGUGGCUCAGCAGUAGAGUGCUUGACUAGCACGUGUGAGGCCCUGGGUUCAAUCCCCAGCAUCACAU